UUGGGAAUCAUCUGCAAUGCGCGAAAGCGUGACAGUUUGAGCCAGAGUGUCUGUCAUUAGACAGACUUUUGCCAAAUGUAAAAAGUUUGGCGAAUAAGGACUGGGUAAGACGGGUGCCAGCCGCCGCGGUAAUACCCGCGGUCCAAGUCGCAGCCAUCUUUAUUGGGUCUAAAACAUCCGUAGCUUGCUUGGUAAGUUCCCUGUGAAAUCCAGCAUCUCAAGUGUUGGGCGCGCGGGGAGUACUGCCUCGCUAGAGACCGGAAGACGUAAGAAGUACGUUCGAAGUAGCGGUAAAAUGCGUUGAUCUCGGGCGGACUCACAACAGCGAAGGCAUCUUACGAGGACGGUUCUGACUGUCAGGGAUGAAGGCUAGGGGCGCAAAGUGGAUUAGAUACCCCCGUAGUCCCUGAGCGGGCUGGCAAGGCGCAU
Molecule: ribosomal RNA, 429 nt
Filed under: uncultured bacterium
Lineage: Bacteria
Description: bacterial SSU rRNA
Rfam family: Archaeal small subunit ribosomal RNA
Source: RNAcentral